AUUCCGUAGAUAUUGUUUUAAUCAGUGGAUUUUAUUGUGCCUCAAGUAAUUCAACGAGAAACCUGACAUUUCCGUGUUAAAAGCAAACCGAUAAAAUAUUAAGAGUUUAUCUACUUGUGCUGGGAUUGUCGUGAUACAAAGAUGUUGACUAUCGCAAUAAAACGUGACUUGCUGUUCAAAACAUUGGGUAAAACAUAUUGGAAUAAAAUUUAUUUAUUUGAGUUAUUGCUAAGACGGGAUUUGGUAUACAUAAAUUAACCAAAUAUAUUUUAUACCUCGACACUUAAGGACUUGCACAAAACUCGCUAAAAAAGAUUUAUGCUCAUUUUACAUAUUAGACAAACAUCACGCUCUGACUGAGUGUCAAUGAAGCGAAUAGAGAAGGGGUGUGUUUGUUUGAAGACAAUGAAAAAGCAAAUGAUAGCAAGAGUAGUUUUGACCAAGGUAUACAUGCGUCCGAAGAAAUUAUCUACAAGAUUGACACGCCUGCCAACAGAUAUUAUCUGUUGUGCUUGGAGCCUAAGUACUGGACUACUUAUAUCUUUGAAUAAAACAUACAAAAGAACUGUAAUUGGUAAUAAAAAGCAAAACACAUAAUGCACAUUACACAAGAACUGCGUAAAGGAUGUGUGCCAGGACUCUUUAAAUUUCACUUUUUAAAUGUUCCUCCACCUAUGGCUGAAUGCAUAUAUAUAAAGUCUUUUUUCUAAACAGGAUGUUCAUCCCACAUUAUAUGGCAAUAAAACCAAAGGAAUGGAAAAGAUUAUAAUGACUUCAAGAAUUCUUAAAAAUAAGUGGACAUUUGGUUGUUUCAAUUUUGAGAGACGUUACUUUGACGCAAGAUUCUUACAAUAGUUUUAUUAAUCGUCAAGAAAAGUUGCAUCAAAAUAUAGGAAGAAGACAUAGUCUGGUCUCUAUUGGCACUCAUGAUUUGGAUGCAAUUAAAGGUCCAUUUCUAUAUGAUGCUAGACACCAUCAAAAAUACAGUUCAAACCAUUUAAUCGAGAUAAGCAGUUUUCGCUAAACAAGUUGACUGACUUGAUUCGAAUAGAAAUGGCCCAGGCAGGACUUUCUCUUUGUGCUCACGUGAGAAUGUAGCGGACAAAUUGGGAUACGAAAUAGAAGAUGUGCCGGCAGUUCACAUAUCCGAUCCAAAAACUUUGGAGUUUCAAAUAAAUCGACCGAUACCGCGCGCUCUUAUUAAAACCUCGGAAACCAGAGUUCUAUUCUUGAUUUCGCCUUUUUAUUUGAACGAUACAUGUGUGUAAUAGAACGUAAACAGAUAUCGUCGUGCGGACGUUUAAAUAAAAAAAAAAUUUGCAAAGAAUACAAGAUAUUUCUUUAUUUAUUAUACAUUUUCUACGUAAUAUACGUGCAACGCGUAGCAGUUAUGAGAAAACAGGCAGAUAGCUAUACGGAUUGAUUUGCUCUUUUUCCAUCCACUUCAAGUACAGGUACUUUGCCAAAUGGCAUAGCUGAAAAAUGAUUUUAAGCCACAUGAAUGCAACAUAAUAUUGUUAGAAUAAGAUUUAUAGUAGAGAACCUAUCUGGAUUGUCAUUAUAUAUAAGUGUGUUAUAGUGAUAAAAUUUGUAGCAAUUGUAUAUAUACAUAUUCAUUAAAAAUCUUUUGGUAAUUAAUAA
RNAcentral lists this long non-coding RNA (1641 nucleotides) under Monomorium pharaonis (pharaoh ant). RNAcentral describes it as "uncharacterized LOC118646302, transcript variant X6". Lineage: Eukaryota; Metazoa; Arthropoda; Insecta; Hymenoptera; Formicidae. The record is from RNAcentral.